GACGAACGCUGGCGGCGUGCUUAACACAUGCAAGUCGAACGGAAAGGCCCUGCUUUUGUGGGGUGCUCGAGUGGCGAACGGGUGAGUAACACGUGAGUAACCUGCCCUUGACUUUGGGAUAACUUCAGGAAACUGGGGCUAAUCCCGGAUAUGAGCUCCUGCUGCAUGGUGGGGGUUGGAAAGUUUCGGCGGUUGGGGAUGGACUCGCGGCUUAUCAGCUUGUUGGUGGGGUAGUGGCUUACCAAGGCUUUGACGGGUAGCCGGCCUGAGAGGGUGACCGGCAACAUUGGGACUGAGAUACGGCCCAGACUCCUACGGGAGGCAGCAGUGGGGAAUAUUGCACGAUGGGCGGAAGCCAGAUGCAGGAACGCCGCGUGCGGGAUGAAGGCCUUCGGGUUGUAAACCGCUUUCGCCUGUGACGAAGCGUGAGUGACGGUAAUGUGUAAAGAAGCACCGGCUAACUAAGUG
RNAcentral lists this ribosomal RNA (468 nucleotides) under uncultured bacterium. Its description in RNAcentral is "partial 16S ribosomal RNA". It matches the Rfam family "Bacterial small subunit ribosomal RNA", at positions 28 to 507 of the family's 1533-position model. The record is from RNAcentral.